CCCUACUAGCAGGAGGGUGAGUCACACUGAAGCCAGGAGCAGCCUCAGGGCAAGGAGUGGGAAAUGUGACCACACAAUGACGACCACAGGAAAAGCUUGAUCGAGCCCUAAGAAGGAACAGAAGCAGAUCUUCGUGACCUUGGAUGAAGCUGUGCUUUGGCAGCAACCCCAGAACCAGAUUUUGAAAAUCAACAACCUGCACGUGCAUGUUGUCAUCGAAAGGGCAUCUGAGGGGGACAAGGAUGUGGCCGUGAGAAGGCCAGCUGAAUGAAACUCCAGAGGCAGAUGAGCAGCGCGGUAGGAGGAGGGUGCGGGCCUGGAGGCCAGGUAAGCAGCGGCAGCGGCGCGGGGUCCACCGGGCUCGGACGCCCCCCACCGUUUCCAGCCCACUUCUCCACGACGACGCGGGGACAACAAUGAAUGCCUAUCUCACACUUCAGCGAAGAUAUGAGGAGAAAACGCGGUAGCAGAACAGGUAGACACUCAUUCAACAAGUUCCUUUCUCCCUCUGCAACCCCACCACUGGACACCCUGAGGCAACCUGGCUUAAAAUGGGAAGAAAUCGGAAAUAGAUGUCAACACUAUUUCAUUUUCUAUUUUUCCCCCCAUUUUGUAUC
This is a long non-coding RNA of Suricata suricatta (meerkat), 617 nucleotides long. RefSeq lists it as uncharacterized. The transcript is spliced from 3 exons. NCBI's taxonomy places the organism in Eukaryota, Metazoa, Chordata, Mammalia, Carnivora, Herpestidae. The record is from RefSeq and is a predicted model, not a curated record.